CCUACGGGAGGCAGCAGUAGGGAAUCUUCCACAAUGGACGAAAGUCUGAUGGAGCAACGCCGCGUGAGUGAAGAAGGGUUUCGGCUCGUAAAGCUCUGUUGGUAGUGAAGAAAGAUAGAGGUAGUAACUGGCCUUUAUUUGACGGUAAUUACUUAGAAAGUCACGGCUAACUACGUGCCAGCAGCCGCGGUAAUACGUAGGUGGCAAGCGUUGUCCGGAUUGAUUGGGCGUAAAGCGAGUGCAGGCGGUUCAAUAAGUCUGAUGUGAAAGCCUUCGGCUCAACCGGAGAAUUGCAUCAGAAACUGUUGAACUGGAGUGCAGAAGAGGAGAGUGGAACUCCAUGUGGAGCGGUGGAAUGCGUAGAGAUAUGGAAGAACACCAGUGGCGAAGGCGGCUUUCUGGUCUGCAACUGACGCUGAGGCUCGAAAGCAUGGGUAGCGAACAGGAUUAGAUACCCCGGUAGUC
Molecule: ribosomal RNA, 465 nt
Filed under: uncultured bacterium
Lineage: Bacteria
Description: partial 16S ribosomal RNA
Rfam family: Bacterial small subunit ribosomal RNA
Source: RNAcentral